GCUGUGGCUUAGUGGUAGAGCAUCUGCUUAGCAUGCAGAACAUCCCCAGUUCGGUCCCUGGCAUCUCCA
This 69-nucleotide transfer RNA is filed under the name Sphaerodactylus townsendi. RNAcentral's name for it is "tRNA-Ala". It matches the Rfam family "tRNA". Rfam says of the family: Transfer RNA (tRNA) molecules are approximately 80 nucleotides in length. Their secondary structure includes four short double-helical elements and three loops (D, anti-codon, and T loops). Lineage: Eukaryota; Metazoa; Chordata; Lepidosauria; Squamata; Sphaerodactylidae. The record is from RNAcentral.